This 602-nucleotide ribosomal RNA is filed under the name Savitreea sp. RNAcentral's name for it is "partial large subunit ribosomal RNA". It matches the Rfam family "Eukaryotic large subunit ribosomal RNA", at positions 50 to 668 of the family's 3401-position model. Lineage: Eukaryota; Fungi; Ascomycota; Saccharomycetes; Saccharomycetales; Saccharomycetaceae. The record is from RNAcentral.
GCGGAGGAAAAGAAACCAACCGGGAUUGCCUUAGUAACGGCGAGUGAAGCGGCAAAAGCUCAAAUUUGAAAUCUGCUACCUUCGGUGGCCGAGUUGUAAUUUGUAGAAGGUAACUUUGGGGCUGGCUCUUGUCUAUGUUCCUUGGAACAGGACGUCAUGGAGGGUGAGAAUCCCGUGUGGCGAGAAGAUCAGUCCUUUGUAAAGUGCUUUCGAAGAGUCGAGUUGUUUGGGAAUGCAGCUCAAAGUGGGUGGUAAAUUCCAUCUAAAGCUAAAUAUUGGCGAGAGACCGAUAGCGAACAAGUACAGUGAUGGAAAGAUGAAAAGAACUUUGAAAAGAGAGUGAAAAAGUACGUGAAAUUGUUGAAAGGGAAGGGCAUUUGAUUAGACAUGGUAUUUGAAGGUCUUGGCUCCUUGUGGGCUGGGCUCCCUUCUUUUACUGGGCCAGCAUCAGUUUUGGCGGUAGGAUAAUAGCAGAAGAACGUGGCACCUCUCGGGGUGUGUUAUAUCUUAUGUUGAUACUGCCAGCCGGGACUGAGGUAACGCGUCUUUGACAAGGAUGCUGGCGUAAUGAUUAAAUGCCGCCCGUCUUGAACCACGGACCA